Molecule: long non-coding RNA, 482 nt
Filed under: Elaeis guineensis (African oil palm)
Lineage: Eukaryota; Viridiplantae; Streptophyta; Magnoliopsida; Arecales; Arecaceae
Description: long non-coding RNA (EGUI_LNC070730)
Source: RNAcentral
AAAUUUUGAUUUAUCAGAAUUUAAAUGCAAUUUGGGCAGAACCUCCUUUCUUGGCUUUGCUCUCACACUGUUGGACCUUUUCUUGCCUUCCUUUCUUGCUCCUUGUCUCCUUAAUUUUUAUUCUAAUUCUCUAAGCCUUUUGGAAGACUUCUUAUCCUUUAUCAGGACCUUAUCUAGGCUAGAGAGAAAGAAUAAAGAAAAUUAGACAAGAAAAGCCUCUUGUAAGAAAGAAGGAAGAAUUCUGAAUGCACGAAGACUCCUCAGCGUGCACCCCUAUUUAUAUUGCACGUAGGGGUGCAAACCAAAACAUCUCAUGCCCACUCACACUUUAUCUCAUGCCCCCUUUCUAUUUCUCACACCCCAUAAAUUGUAAAAUGCCAUGUGUACAUCAAAGUUGGGUUGAAGAGGCACCUUAUUUCAGAAGGACUCUUCGAUCUUAACUUACGGUGUUCACAUGAGAAGUCACAAAGCUUCUCUUAUUG